This 421-nucleotide ribosomal RNA is filed under the name uncultured bacterium. Its description in RNAcentral is "bacterial SSU rRNA". It matches the Rfam family "Bacterial small subunit ribosomal RNA", at positions 102 to 509 of the family's 1533-position model. The record is from RNAcentral.
ACGGGUGAGUAACACGUGGGUAACCUGCCUGUAAGACUGGGAUAACUCCGGGAAACCGGAGCUAAUACCGGAUAGUUCCUUGAACCGCAUGGUUCAAGGAUGAAAGACGGUUUCGGCUGUCACUUACAGAUGGACCCGCGGCGCAUUAGCUAGUUGGUGAGGUAACGGCUCACCAAGGCGACGAUGCGUAGCCGACCUGAGAGGGUGAUCGGCCACACUGGGACUGAGACACGGCCCAGACUCCUACGGGAGGCAGCAGUAGGGAAUCUUCCGCAAUGGACGAAAGUCUGACGGAGCAACGCCGCGUGAGUGAUGAAGGUUUUCGGAUCGUAAAGCUCUGUUGUUAGGGAAGAACAAGUGCAAGAGUAACUGCUUGCACCUUGACGGUACCUAACCAGAAAGCCACGGCUAACUACGUGCC